This 366-nucleotide ribosomal RNA is filed under the name Acidobacteriota bacterium. Its description in RNAcentral is "bacterial SSU rRNA". It matches the Rfam family "Bacterial small subunit ribosomal RNA", at positions 1 to 351 of the family's 1533-position model. Lineage: Bacteria; Pseudomonadati; Acidobacteriota. The record is from RNAcentral.
AUCUGAGAGUUUGAUCCUGGCUCAGAAUCAACGCUGGCGGCGUGCCUAACACAUGCAAGUCGAACGAGAAAGGGAUCCUUCGGGAACCUGAGUAAAGUGGCGAACGGGUGAGUAGCACGUGGGUGACCUGCCCUCUGGAGGGGGAUAACCCGAGGAAACUCGGGCUAAGACCGCAUAAGCCUUUGACGUCAAACUCAAAGGGAAAAGGAUAUAGCUUUCGAGUUAGAUCCUACCGGAGGAGGGGCCCGCGUCCCAUUAGCUAGUUGGUGGGGUAAAAGCCUACCAAGGCUACGAUGGGUAGCCGGUCUGAGAGGACGGACGGCCACACUGGAACUGAGACACGGUCCAGACUCCUACGGGAGGCAG